UACGAAGAUUAGAGCGAUGACGGGCCGAUGGAGCGAGCACACGUGGUGGCAUGUGGGAUAGCCGCGAGCAUGCAGCCCAGCGUGCAGUUGCGCGGGCAUACGUGGUGCAUGGCCCAUGCCCAAGUGGAUGCACGAGCAGGCGCGGCCGAUGCCAGGGGGCGCACGCAGGCAUAGCUCACAUGGUUCUCUCACGCAGUCC
RNAcentral lists this long non-coding RNA (199 nucleotides) under Elaeis guineensis (African oil palm). Its description in RNAcentral is "long non-coding RNA (EGUI_LNC015240)". The record is from RNAcentral. Lineage: Eukaryota; Viridiplantae; Streptophyta; Magnoliopsida; Arecales; Arecaceae.